GACGAACGCUGGCGGCGUGCCUAAUACAUGCAAGUAGAACGCUGAAGGAGGAGCUUGCUUCUCUGGAUGAGUUGCGAACGGGUGAGUAACGCGUAGGUAACCUGCCUGGUAGCGGGGGAUAACUAUUGGAAACGAUAGCUAAUACCGCAUAAUAGUAGAUGUUGCAUGACAUUUGCUUAAAAGGUGCAAUUGCAUCACUACCAGAUGGACCUGCGUUGUAUUAGCUAGUUGGUGGGGUAACGGCUCACCAAGGCGAAGAUACAUAGCCGACCUGAGAGGGUGAUCGGCCACACUGGGACUGGGACACGGCCCAGACUCCUACGGGAGGCAGCAGUAGGGAAUCUUCGGCAAUGGACGGAAGUCUGACCGAGCAACGCCGCGUGAGUGAAGAAGGGUUUCGGAUCGUAAAGCUCUGUUGUAAGAGAAGAACGAGUGUGAGGGUGGAAAGUUCACACUGUGACGGUAUCUUAACAGAAAGGGACGGCUAACUACGUG
RNAcentral lists this ribosomal RNA (495 nucleotides) under uncultured bacterium. RNAcentral describes it as "partial 16S ribosomal RNA". It matches the Rfam family "Bacterial small subunit ribosomal RNA", at positions 28 to 507 of the family's 1533-position model. The record is from RNAcentral.